AUAUUCACUUUUGUAGCACAUAUACUAAAGCUAAAAUAAUACAAAAAGCAUCACCAUGGUGCCUGCACAGGGAAGAGAGGCAAUUCCAUGAAGAAUUACAUAUUUAA
Molecule: small nuclear RNA, 107 nt
Filed under: Sorex araneus (European shrew)
Lineage: Eukaryota; Metazoa; Chordata; Mammalia; Eulipotyphla; Soricidae
Source: RNAcentral